This is a long non-coding RNA of Anolis carolinensis (green anole), 1542 nucleotides long. RefSeq lists it as uncharacterized. Lineage: Eukaryota; Metazoa; Chordata; Lepidosauria; Squamata; Anolidae. The record is from RefSeq and is a predicted model, not a curated record. The transcript has 3 exons.
CAAAGGGGACUAAUUUACUGCUGUGCUCUUUUCACAGCACUCUAUCAAUACUGCAAUAGCUGUAGCUUAAUAGCAGAGCAAAGGAAAUCUAUUCUGCUUUUAAUUUGUAACAGGUUUUCAAAGGGGAAUCAUUAUCCUGAUUAUGAUUCAAUAAACAGAAACCUGAACCCAGGCCAGGUCCCUUCAUGGCUGCCAGAAAGAACAGCAGGGGAAGGCAAAAGAAUCACCAUGUUUCAGGCUUAAGCAGAGCUUAAUGCAGCAAGACAUUCAAACAAGUGCUGCUCACCUUGAGCUUUAUCUGGCUGCCGGGAAACACAAAGAAGGACAGCAAUUCCCUGAGGUCUCAGCCAAUGCCAACUCUGAUACAGUUGGUUACGCUUUGUGUCUCAAGUCAAGGGCAGUUUUAUAACUAUAAUGCAGAAUGAAGCUGGCUCAAGCGUGGAACAUCCAAAAAAAUGCACACCCUCAAUAUGUGCUGCAGCACACAUCAAGCGAGAAACAGCAUGUUAAAAACUCAAUGGAAAAUGAGCCAGAUAAUGCACUCAGGGCCAUCAGGGUACAUCCCAUGCAGGGUUCAAAACUGAGAUAUACUCGGAUCAUCUGCAGUGAAUCAGAGCAUCUCGAUGGAUUGGAUAAGGAGAAAACCUGCAUUUUCCAGAGGCUAUCUAGCUACAGAUACUGCAAUUGCUGGAUCUAGUUCCAACCUGCAAUCAGCCAAUACUGUGGCCAUGGUUCCAGCCUCAAACUGGUUCCUGCCGUGUUUGUAUAGGUGCUGUACAAUAAAACCAGUUUGCUUUAAUCCACUUCUAAACUGCAUUGAAGUGUCUGUGUAGAACAGUAUACAGAAGGAAGAAAACAUUCAGAGAUGUGUGGUUUUCAGUGGUUCACAGGAAAAACAUAGCAACUUAAGGAGAACACAGACAAAUGUAACCAUGUAGGGCUAUGCAGAAAAUCAAAGCACAAAUGGGAAAGAGCUCUGUAACCGUUAAAAGGCUACAAAAUUGGGCAGUCAUCUGAUUCCAUGCAGAUUCCCAUACUUCAGUACAUCCUAAUAAAGUUUGCCCAACUGUGGUUUUGGUUUUCAUAUUAAUGAGAGGAUUAUAGUGGGCCUUUGGUAUCUACUGGGGUUUGGUUCUAGGAUCUGUGGAUGAUGAAAUCCUAUCACCUUGUCAUAUGCAGCACCGGAAUAUUUGGGUAUUGCUGCAGAUUGUGGUGAUCCCAGCAGCACCUGCCCAGGUGGUGUAGUGAUCUAUUACCCUGUGCCCCUCUCCAUCCCGACUUCCCCCCGUCUCAGAAAACCUCCUAAAUCCAGCUCAACCCAUCAUUCCUAAUGGAAAGAAGAGGAGUUCUCUGGGGUGUAAUGGCAGCUAUUGGGCGUCAUGGAUGAACAACAGAGCACUUGUUGCCGUUGCCAAAAAAUAAGUAAUGGUGUGCCUUAUAUAAAAAGGCAAAACCAAGGUUUGCUUUUUAGGAUUUUUUAUCCUAAAAGAGAGAUGCUUUCAAGCUGUGGAUGGUUGUUUUUCACUGAUACAAAGAGCCAAC